AGAGUUUGAUCCUGGCUCAGAACGAACGCUGGCGGCAUGCCUAACACAUGCAAGUCGAACGAUGCUUUCGGGCAUAGUGGCGCACGGGUGCGUAACGCGUGGGAAUCUGCCCUUUGGUCUGGGAUAACUGUUGGAAACGACAGCUAAUACCGGAUGAUGACGUAAGUCCAAAGAUUUAUCGCCAGAGGAUGAGCCCGCGUCGGAUUAGCUAGUUGGUGGGGUAAAGGCCUACCAAGGCGACGAUCCGUAGCUGGUCUGAGAGGAUGAUCAGCCACACUGGGACUGAGACACGGCCCAGACUCCUACGGGAGGCAGCAGUGGGGAAUAUUGGACAAUGGGCGAAAGCCUGAUCCAGCAAUGCCGCGCGAGUGAUGAAGGCCUUAGGGUUGUAAAGCUCUUUUACCCGGGAUGAUAAUGACAGUACCGGGAGAAUAAGCUCCGGCUAACUCCGUG
RNAcentral lists this ribosomal RNA (453 nucleotides) under uncultured Sphingomonas sp. RNAcentral's name for it is "bacterial SSU rRNA". It matches the Rfam family "Bacterial small subunit ribosomal RNA", at positions 8 to 507 of the family's 1533-position model. Lineage: Bacteria; Pseudomonadati; Pseudomonadota; Alphaproteobacteria; Sphingomonadales; Sphingomonadaceae. The record is from RNAcentral.